RNAcentral lists this ribosomal RNA (301 nucleotides) under uncultured bacterium. RNAcentral's name for it is "partial 16S ribosomal RNA". It matches the Rfam family "Bacterial small subunit ribosomal RNA", at positions 509 to 807 of the family's 1533-position model. The record is from RNAcentral.
CAGUCGCCGCGGUAAUACGAAGGGGGCUAGCGUUGCUCGGAAUCACUGGGCGUAAAGGGUGCGUAGGCGGGUCUUUAAGUCAGGGGUGAAAUCCUGGAGCUCAACUCCAGAACUGCCUUUGAUACUGAAGAUCUUGAGUAUGGGAGAGGUGAGUGGAACUGCGAGUGUAGAGGUGAAAUUCGUAGAUAUUCGCAAGAACACCAGUGGCGAAGGCGGCUCACUGGCCCAUAACUGACGCUGAGGCACGAAAGCGUGGGGAGCAAACAGGAUUAGAUACCCGAGUAGUCCCUGUCUCUUAUAC